GGUAUCCUACGGGGGGCAGCAGUAGGGAAUUUUCGGCAAUGGGGGGAACCCUGACCGAGCAACGCCGCGUGAAGGAAGAAGGAAUUCGUUCUGUAAACUUAGGUAAGAAAGGAAGAAAGACGGAUGGAGGAAAUGACAUCCGAGUGACGGUACUUUAUGAGAAAGCCACGGCUAACUACGUGCCAGCAGCCGCGGUAAUACGUAGGUGGCGAGCGUUAUCCGGAAUGAUUGGGCGUAA
This 238-nucleotide ribosomal RNA is filed under the name uncultured bacterium. RNAcentral describes it as "partial 16S ribosomal RNA". It matches the Rfam family "Bacterial small subunit ribosomal RNA", at positions 333 to 563 of the family's 1533-position model. The record is from RNAcentral.